RNAcentral lists this ribosomal RNA (301 nucleotides) under uncultured bacterium. RNAcentral's name for it is "partial 16S ribosomal RNA". It matches the Rfam family "Bacterial small subunit ribosomal RNA", at positions 509 to 807 of the family's 1533-position model. The record is from RNAcentral.
CAGUCGCCGCGGUAAUACAGAGGGUGCGAGCGUUAAUCGGAUUUACUGGGCGUAAAGCGUGCGUAGGCGGCUUUUUAAGUCGGAUGUGAAAUCCCUGAGCUUAACUUAGGAAUUGCAUUCGAUACUGGGAAGCUAGAGUAUGGGAGAGGAUGGUAGAAUUCCAGGUGUAGCGGUGAAAUGCGUAGAGAUCUGGAGGAAUACCGAUGGCGAAGGCAGCAAUCUGGCCUAAUACUGACGCUGAGGUACGAAAGCAUGGGGAGCAAACAGGAUUAGAUACCCGUGUAGUCCCUGUCUCUUAUAC